Non-coding RNA from Misgurnus anguillicaudatus (oriental weatherfish), 2191 nucleotides. NCBI's taxonomy places the organism in Eukaryota, Metazoa, Chordata, Actinopteri, Cypriniformes, Cobitidae. The record is from RefSeq and is a predicted model, not a curated record.
ACACAUUCUUUGCUGUAAAGUGCAUGAUCUUCACCUCUCUGCUGCCCUCUUGUUACUCUUAACUAGGUUAAGAGACCUCUCCAGCUCUCUUAAAUAAUUUAGGAGCUGAGACCUAGUCUUAACACUUAGGGGGCAUUAUAAAUCAAACUUAUUCUUAAGUCUAGGAAUAAGAGUAAAAUGACGUCAUUCUUAGAACUUUGACACACUUAAGACUAAAAUUUGACUCUGAGCGGCUUUAUACAUACGGGCCCUGCACUGAAAAAAAUGGACUUAAUGGGUCUUUGAAUUUACAUAAAAUAAGCAUGUAUAUGCAACACAAAGUAUUUAUAUUCCUUGUGUAUACAUAAUUUAAUUGAUUAGGAUUAAAAUGUUUUGUUUGAAUGUAAAAUGAACACAUUAUUCUCACAUUGAUUAAAAUUGAUUGAAUUGAAUGCUUAAAGCAAUCAAAUUGAGUGCACACAAAACGGCACCUCCUGAGCAGCAGGUGGCAGUACAGCUCAAUAAAAAGGACGUCAAUUGCCAUAAAAGAAGAAUACAUACGUUUGUUUUGGGCGCCAAAAUGAAGACUCAGCACAGCAGCGUCAGUCAGAAGAACUCUCUCAGACGGACACCACAUUAUUAAAGUAAGUUCUAUUAUUUAUUUAUGUUCACUUUAUAUGUGAUACAUCUUCACUAGAUAGACAGUUUUUUUUACAAUAUGUAGCCAUUGCAAUGACUUGUAGUAAAAAUUAGUUUGGAGCAGGUUGGUGGAGUAAGUUAACAGUCAGUCAAGCUCAUAAAGAAAAACACAGCGUUUUAAAAAUGUCAGCUGUUUAACGUUAGUUCACGUUUGGUAGUUUUAUCUGAGUUGAAAACUGUCAGCUUUGAGUUGACUUUUGAGGCACUUUUUACUCAGCUGUUCUAUGGAAACGUAUCAGGACAAAUAAAACGCUAACCAAAAGUUAUUCUGUCCAGAGUAACGUUAUCCAUGUAAGUAAUUUACCAGAUGAUAUCAAUUGACUACAUUAAAAAUGACAUUGCAUUUUAAACAAACUGUCUGCUUAAUCAGAUUAUCAGACCCGCGUCAGUUAUUCGUGACUUCGCUACGCCACGAGCAACACUUGAUUCUAUUAGAAAAAGCUUUUUCAAAUGCCUCGCGUGAAGUCUGGUAUAUUCACUGAAAAAAAUUGUCUUUGAAGUGCCACACCUUAAAGCUGACGUUUUCAGAAGAGAACCUUGUUGUUUUAAGAUCUCAUUUUGUCCAAUAUUGCGUCCUAUGACAGAUAUAAUACUUAUUUCAUUAUUGCUCUGUGUAUGUGUGACCUUCAUCAUUUGAGGUUAUGUUUGAUUUCACCUCUGAAUAUUUCCUCUUAUAGGUCCAUCAUCCUUGCAUGUGCUACACACUCAAAAGCAUUGAUAAAUGCUGAAUUUAAAAGAAUCACUACUGUCUUAUGUUCCUGCGUGUCACCUGGACCUCCAAUCCAAAAACCUGAUGAAUCUCUUCUAUCAGAAAGGAGGACAGCUAGCAAAAAGACUUCAAACAAUUAAUGAUCAAAUGACAGAAGGCAUGGAUGAAGUCAGCAUCAGUGAGGUCAUUUGAAGACACCAAUGUUGGGAUUUGUGCUCUCAAACAACAUGCUUCUUGAAGAAGAGGAUCUUUGUAUAGUCCUGGAAGGCAUGAAGGUGUUGCAACAUCGUGCCAUGUUGUUUGAGCUGAUGUAUGCCUUAAACCUGAGCUAUCCUGAUCUCCGCUUUAUUUUUGAGGAAAUCCAAAAGAUUUUAAUGGAACUGCAUUGAGCGUAACUUUAACGAACAGUUUCUUUCAGUGAAAGGAUCAGAAAGACUGUGCUGCUCAUUUUCGACUUUGUUUAUCGGUUUUAAGUGUUUUCUCUUUUUAAAACAUUAACAGUUUGCUGCUCAGAGUCGAUUUUGGAAAUGGUUGUUGUAUUUUGUUUUUGUUGAAUCUUUGAUUAUCAGUUUAUACAAAUGCUGUAGCUCUGACUUUCUGAAGGAGUGAUAUUUUCCAGUUUGUAAAUCCAUUUAAAAAAUAAUAGUACUUACUGUUUUGCAUGUCUCUUUGGAAUGCAGUGUUUGUGUUUUAGCACUUCUAAAUCUACUGUGAUAGUAACUAUUUUAAACUGUAAAAAUAAUUGACUUACCAUUUAAAGGACAAUAAAGAUACAUUACAUACAUGCACACAUACACAUCUCAG